Molecule: long non-coding RNA, 420 nt
Organism: Hordeum vulgare subsp. vulgare (domesticated barley)
Lineage: Eukaryota; Viridiplantae; Streptophyta; Magnoliopsida; Poales; Poaceae
Exons: 3
Source: RefSeq, a predicted model, not a curated record
UUGUUGUGUUAAUCUUUUAGGAUCACUAACUUGUUGGAUCAAUUUGUUAUAUUCAGUGAGGAAUUGAUGGUGCACGAGGACGAGCUUCCUAGACAAGAAGAUCUCUUUGCUCUUGUCGGUGAUGCAAAGUUGAGAUCGCGUAUACUGAUUCUGGACACCGAUUCUUGGUGUUGCUACGGAUCGUCUACAUUGAUUCUGCACACUGAAGAGAUGGGGUUUCAAAUCAGCAAGAUAGCCGGCAUGUCUGAUAAGAGUGUCAUUUGAUACGGGAAAGUACUACUGUUUUCAUUUGUAAAAGAUACAAAUGGGUUAAUCUGGCAAUUCUAUUACAGUACUUGAUUACCUUACCUGAUGUUAAGAAGCUGAGUGGUUAGUGCAAAAUAACUUUGAGAUCACCUCCUUUUGCAAUUCUGAACAAUU